UUCCUAUUUAUCCUGUAAUAAUGUUGUAUCCUAUCGGUCAAUGAGCAUAUAUUACAGUGUACUUGUCUUUUCUUGGCACAAAUGUAGCAAGAAACAGCGCUGUUGGCAGUGCUGCAUUAACGUCUCAAAGUACCAUACGUAGCUCUAGCCAGCUGUCCGAACACAUGAACAUCUGCCUUACCCUGGUCCACGUAUGUAGUUAUUCUGAUCGCUUUGUACACCUUGGACAUGGGGUCAGUAUCAUACGUUUGGGAAUUUCUUACGUAUGGUAUGUUGGUGUAAUCAUACAUUUUAUAAUGCAACUCUUCUUCAUCAGUAGCAGCUGAAAAGACUCAGUGUCUCAUUGAGAGUAGCAACUGAAGUUUCAUCGACGAGGUUUGUUUAGGUUUCGAAGCUUCAGUUAAUUUGACUCCAAGCAGUACUGAAAUCGUGGGUGGUAUGCAGCCCUGAUGUCAAUCCAUCCUCUGGCCCCCGUUCAGAUGGCGGAGCCGGUGACAACGGUUUUCGACUGAUUACCAGGAAACCCUUCACUGUUGGUCACCAUAUUUGUUCCCCCUGUCAGUGCUAGUAUUAAGAAUGGAGCAAUACACCUUCGAAGAACAGGCAGAUAUGCAUAUGACGUAUGGUGCAGCACGUGGGAAUGGUAGAGCAGCACAGCGGUUGUAUGCAGCACAGUUCCCAUUCCGACGUCACCCACAUUAUUCAACAUUUGCUGCCAUUCACAGACGACUUAGGGAUUCUGGAAGAUUCCGCCCCACCAGGUCCGACGUAGGUAGACCUCGGCAUACUCGUACAGCACGUAAUGAGGAGAAGGUGUUGGAGGCUGUUGCUACUAAUCCUCGGACUAGCACUCGUGCAGUUGCGUAUGAGGUAGGGAUUAGUCAGGCAUCAGUGUGGCGAACGGUACAUGAGCAGCUACUUCAUCCGUACCAUAUUCAGAGGGUGCAGGCAUUAACUCCAGCCGAUUUUCAAAGACGUAGAGAGUUCAGUCAGUGGUACAUAAAUCAAACCUCAGACGAUGGUGCAUUUAGUAGUUUAGUAUUGUUCACUGAUGAAACAACUUUCACUAGGACAGGAAUGUUUAAUACACAUAAUAUGCAUUAUUGGGAUGAGGAGAACCCACACAUCACUUGCGAGAGAGCACAUCAACAAAGGUUUUCUGUUAAUGUGUGGUGUGGAAUCCUUGGAGAUAAUUUAUUAGGUCCUUAUGUACUUCAUGGCCGUUUGACUGGAGAAACUUAUCUGCACUUCUUGGAGAACAUUUUGCCAUGCUUGCUCGAAGAUGUACCCCUAACAACACGAAGAGCAAUAUGGUUUAUGCAUGAUGGAGCCCCUGCUCAUAAUAGUCAUAUUGUUCAAGAUCACUUAAAUCGGACAUUUCAUGGUAGGCUGAUCGCAAAUAGGGGGCCCA
Long non-coding RNA from Eriocheir sinensis (Chinese mitten crab), 1411 nucleotides. RefSeq lists it as uncharacterized. The record is from RefSeq and is a predicted model, not a curated record. Lineage: Eukaryota; Metazoa; Arthropoda; Malacostraca; Decapoda; Varunidae. The transcript has 3 exons.